Molecule: long non-coding RNA, 474 nt
Organism: Sarcophilus harrisii (Tasmanian devil)
Lineage: Eukaryota; Metazoa; Chordata; Mammalia; Dasyuromorphia; Dasyuridae
Exons: 4
Source: RefSeq, a predicted model, not a curated record
UUCAGUAGAAGGUUAGUAAGAGCUCAGGAGAGGGCAGGAUGUGAAUACAUGGAAUAAAGAACUGAGUUUGCGAGCUGCUGUCUUCAGGUGUUCUGUUGGAUAUGAGAACCACUGCUUGGAGAAGCAGUAGCCAGGAAUCUGAAAGGACCUGUGAUUGGAUUGAUUUCAGGGCCAGUUCUGGGUUGAUAUGAGAUUAGUGGACCUUUCUUUACCUGGUGAAGUGGAAUGAGGAAAGAAAGAGUUACUGCACUGUUUGUCUUGCUAAGAAGAAGGGAACUGGAUAACUGGAUUGAACAGCCCAGAGUAUUAGACACUCACUCUGUACCUUUUCUUCACAUUGCUGUUGUGGUCGGCCUUCAAACAUGUAAUAGAAGGUAGUAAAAACUAGAGAAAGAUAAAGCUUAUAAAUGUGCUGAUUUACCCAGUUUCAUGGGAAAAAAAGAAAGGAGUCUGUUAAUAAAGAUAUUAACAACA